This 289-nucleotide ribosomal RNA is filed under the name uncultured bacterium. RNAcentral's name for it is "partial 16S ribosomal RNA". It matches the Rfam family "Bacterial small subunit ribosomal RNA", at positions 773 to 1060 of the family's 1533-position model. The record is from RNAcentral.
GUGGAUUAGAUACCCUAGUAGUCCACGCCCUAAACGAUGUCUACUAGUUGUCGGGGAUUCGUUUCCUUGGUAACGCAGCUAACGCGUGAAGUAGACCGCCUGGGGAGUACGGCCGCAAGGUUAAAACUCAAAGGAAUUGACGGGGACCCGCACAAGCGGUGGAUGAUGUGGAUUAAUUCGAUGCAACGCGAAAAACCUUACCUACGCUUGACAUGCCAGAGACCCCGCAGAGAUGUGGGGGUGCCCGAAAGGGAAUCUGGACACAGGUGCUGCACGGCCGUCGUCAGCU